This 468-nucleotide ribosomal RNA is filed under the name uncultured bacterium. RNAcentral describes it as "partial 16S ribosomal RNA". It matches the Rfam family "Bacterial small subunit ribosomal RNA", at positions 28 to 507 of the family's 1533-position model. The record is from RNAcentral.
GACGAACGCUGGCGGCGUGCUUAACACAUGCAAGUCGAACGGAAAGGCCCUGCUUUUGUGGGGUGCUCGAGUGGCGAACGGGUGAGUAACACGUGAGUAACCUGCCCUUGACUUUGGGAUAACUUCAGGAAACUGGGGCUAAUACCGGAUAGGAGCUCCUGCUGCAUGGUGGGGGUUGGAAAGUUUCGGCGGUUGGGGAUGGACUCGCGGCUUAUCAGCUUGUUGGUGGGGUAGUGGCUUACCAAGGCUUUGACGGGUAGCCGGCCUGAGAGGGUGACCGGCCACAUUGGGACUGAGAUACGGACCAGACUCCUACGGGAGGCAGCAGUGGGGAAUAUUGCACAAUGGGCGGAAGCCUGAUGCAGCAACGCCGCGUGCGGGAUGACGGCCUUCGGGUUGUAAACCGCCUUCGCCUGUGACGAAGCGUGAGUGACGGUAAUGGGUAAAGAAGCACCGGCUAACUACGUG